CCUGGUGGCGAGUGGCGAACGGGUGAGUAAUACAUCGGAACAUGUCCUGUAGUGGGGGAUAGCCCGGCGAAAGCCGGAUUAAUACCGCAUACGAUCUACGGAUGAAAGCGGGGGACCUUCGGGCCUCGCGCUAUAGGGUUGGCCGAUGGCUGAUUAGCUAGUUGGUGGGGUAAAGGCCUACCAAGGCGACGAUCAGUAGCUGGUCUGAGAGGACGACCAGCCACACUGGGACUGAGACACGGCCCAGACUCCUACGGGAGGCAGCAGUGGGGAAUUUUGGACAAUGGGCGAAAGCCUGAUCCAGCAAUGCCGCGUGUGUGAAGAAGGCCUUCGGGUUGUAAAGCACUUUUGUCCGGAAAGAAAUCCUUGGUUCUAAUAUAGCCGGGGGAUGACGGUACCGGAAGAAUAAGCACCGGCUAACUACGUGCCAGCAGCCGCGGUAAUACGUAGGGUGCGAGCGUUAAUCGGAAUUACUGGGCGUAAAGCGUGCGCAGGCGGUUUGCUAAGACCGAUGUGAAAUCCCCGGGCUCAACCUGGGAACUGCAUUGGUGACUGGCAGGCUAGAGUAUGGCAGAGGGGGGUAGAAUUCCACGUGUAGCAGUGAAAUGCGUAGAGAUGUGGAGGAAUACCGAUGGCGAAGGC
RNAcentral lists this ribosomal RNA (642 nucleotides) under uncultured beta proteobacterium. RNAcentral's name for it is "bacterial SSU rRNA". It matches the Rfam family "Bacterial small subunit ribosomal RNA", at positions 84 to 722 of the family's 1533-position model. Lineage: Bacteria; Pseudomonadati; Pseudomonadota; Betaproteobacteria. The record is from RNAcentral.